UCGUCGCUGCUCGGAGCGCACGCAGAGCGGAGCGAGGAGCAAACGGCCGCCGCCGCCGCCGAGUGCGCGCGCUUCGUUCUCUCUCUCUCUUCUCUCUCGUCCGUGCGCUCUCUCUCUCUCUCUCUCUCGCUCUCUCGCAGGUUUAAUAAUGAGGAGGCGUUCAAGGGAUCGCUCCAGUCUGUUGCGAGCACGCCGUCCAGCACCGUCCGCGGACGCGUCCGGACUGACGUCACGCUCGAGAGUGGGUGUGCGAGUGACCGACCGGGGGCCCCGACCGUCCGUCCAACUCGGCCGGUGUCCCCCGCCCCGACCCCCUCAGUGAGUGUUGAGUGCUCCCAGUGCAAGCUUGGUGAUCAAUCUGUCUGUCCGUCGCCGUCCACGCCGGAAAAUUGUGCUGCAAAUGCUACCCGCCUAUGCACCAAUAUGGCGGCAUUUUUGCCCUCGCACCCGCUGGUAGCAGUGCGUUAAGGCAGGUGAGGAAUCUGCAGCUGGAUCAGCAGUGAGUGCAAAAACCGCCGCCGCAGCGCGCGAAUGUAUCUCUCUGUCAGUCGCUAUGUCUGCUUUCACUCGUUGCAAAAGUCAGUGUGUUCGGUGUGUACGCGGAAAAUAUACUCUGCCGCUGCUGCUGAUUGAGUGUGCCAGCCGCCGCUGCCGCCGGGAGAAAGAGAGAGAGAAAUAGAGAUUGUCACCGAGUUUGCUGAGUCCAAAGUGCGAAUGCGAGGGUUCUGCACGUUCUCAAAGAGAGCAAUAACAGUCAAUUUCAGCUCAAAAUGAUCGAAUUGCUGGCAGUGCUUUAGUGAACUGAACGUACGCGCUAAUUGCAUCGGGAGUUGGAGGUGCGACAACCGCCGCGCAUUCCAUCCUCGCGCCUCACCACUCGCACGCUGCACUCUCUCUUAACACACGAGUAUAUUUAUACAAUUCCCAAAGGCGCGCAGUGUGAUAAAUUCCGCCAAGUCUCGAGUUCCAGGUAACCACCUCCGCGGCAAACAAACAUACUCGCGCGCAAUCGCAUUAAUCCAUAGCAAUUACGCCAGUCAAAAUGUACAACAAUGUAAGAGGCGGCAAAUCUCUCGAGUUUCGCGGAAAAGCGAACGCGCCCCGCAGCAUGAAAUUGUGCCAACCGUCGACUGUUUGUUUGCACAUGGUGGCAGUGAAUUAGAGAGGCAGCAGAAAACCGUUUUUAUUAACUCCUUCAGGUUGCAAACGAGCUUUUAAUAGACACCGAUUUCUUGGAAAAUAUUAUUCACUGUUUUGAAAACGAUUUUUUAAUUAAAGUUACGAGUCACAAAUUUUGAAAUUAUGCGCUGUGUUUUUGAGACUUGACUUUUGGAAUUAAUGUCAUAACUUUUUAUCCGGCUCAACGAAAAUAAGCAACGUGGGCACACUACAAAUUGCAAUUUUAUGUUCACUUGCUACAAAAUAAUUUAAGUGAGCUGUGACUUGAACUGUAUUUGGUUUUUAAUUUUUGGACCAUUCUUAUAGAAAUUAUAGAUAAUUUAUAUUCAUUUCGUUGAAAUGUUUCAGAUAAUUAUUAUUACGUUUUGAUGAGCAUUCUAUGAAUUUAUGAUGGAAGCAUUUUGCGAUAAAGAAAGGAAAGCUAUUUUAAAAUUCUUGGAAUUAUUUUGUAAACGUGGAACAUGUAGGACCAAUUAAAUUGUAUUCAAAUGAUAGUAGCUGAAGAUCCUUGGACGUUGGAGAAAAAUUCAUAAUAAUGGUCCAGCUUUCCGAAUAUUGGUGCAUGACUAACCGUAUGUAUGCUGCAUGUCGCUUUGCUUGGUGGAAAUACUCUUUAUGCUGCAUAGUAGCUGAAAUAAAAAAUCGAAUCUCACAAUAAAA
Cloeon dipterum is the source of this 1839-nucleotide long non-coding RNA. RefSeq lists it as uncharacterized. Lineage: Eukaryota; Metazoa; Arthropoda; Insecta; Ephemeroptera; Baetidae. The record is from RefSeq and is a predicted model, not a curated record. The transcript is spliced from 3 exons.